Molecule: ribosomal RNA, 468 nt
Filed under: uncultured bacterium
Lineage: Bacteria
Description: partial 16S ribosomal RNA
Rfam family: Bacterial small subunit ribosomal RNA
Source: RNAcentral
GACGAACGCUGGCGGCGUGCUUAACACAUGCAAGUCGAACGGAAAGGCCCUGCUUUUGUGGGGUGCUCGAGUGGCGAACGGGUGAGUAACACGUGAGUAACCUGCCCUUGCCUUUGGGAUAACUUCAGGAAACUGGGGCUAAUACCGGAUAGGAGCUCCUGCUGCAUGGUGGGGGCUGGAAAGUUUCGGCGGUUGGGGAUGGACUCGCGGCUUAUCAGCUUGUUGGUGGGGUAGUGGCUUACCAAGGCUUUGACGGGUAGCCGGCCUGAGAGGGUGACCGGCCACAUUGGGACUGAGAUACGGCCCAGACUCCUACGGGAGGCAGCAGUGGGGUAUAUUGCACAAUGGGCGGAAGCCUGAUGCAGCAACGCCGCGUGCGGGAUGACGGCCUGCGGGUUGUAAACCGCUUUCGCCUGUGACGAAGCGUGAGUGACGGUAAUGGGUAAAGAAGCACCGGCUAACUACGUG